UACGUAUGGUGCGAGCGUUAAUCGGAAUUACUGGGCGUAAAGCGUGCGCAGGCGGAUUGUUAAGCAAGAUGUGAAAUCCCCGGGCUUAACCUGGGAAUGGCAUUUUGAACUGGCAAUCUAGAGUGUGUCAGAGGGGGGUAGAAUUCCACGUGUAGCAGUGAAAUGCGUAGAGAUGUGGAGGAAUACCGAUGGCGAGGGCAGCCCCCUGGGUCGACACUGACGCUGAGGUGCGAAAGCGUGGGGAGCAAACAGG
RNAcentral lists this ribosomal RNA (253 nucleotides) under uncultured bacterium. Its description in RNAcentral is "partial 16S ribosomal RNA". It matches the Rfam family "Bacterial small subunit ribosomal RNA", at positions 524 to 776 of the family's 1533-position model. The record is from RNAcentral.